This is a long non-coding RNA of Nyctereutes procyonoides (raccoon dog), 690 nucleotides long. RefSeq lists it as uncharacterized. The record is from RefSeq and is a predicted model, not a curated record. Lineage: Eukaryota; Metazoa; Chordata; Mammalia; Carnivora; Canidae. The transcript has 2 exons.
CCGGGAUAAAAGGGCCUCAGGGUCAGAGUGGCUCCAUACACUCCUCUCCUGAGGUGCUUACAGACUUACUGCACGGGUCCUGACCCUGCCCACUGAGAUGUCCUGCCAGCAGAACCAGCAGCAGUGCCAGCCCCCUCCCAAGUGCCCCCCAAAGUGUCCCCCAAAGUGCCCCCCAGUCUCUUCUUGCUGUAGUGUCAGCUCUGGGGGCUGCUGUGGCUCCAGCUCCGGGGGUGGCGGCUGCUGUGGCUCCAGCUCCGGGGGUGGCGGCUGCUGCCUGAGCCACCACAGGCGACACAGGUCCCACCGCCACAGACACCAGAGCUCAGGCUGCUGCAGCCAGCCCUCGGGGGGCUCUGGUUGUUGCAGCCAGCCCUCGGGGGGCUCGGGCUGCUGUGGAGGGGGCAGCAGUCAGUCAUCUGGAGGCUGCUGCUGAAGUCAAUCCUGACCCCCUCUUCUCCUGACCUCCCUGAAUGGUGGAGAGAUCUGAGUAAAGCCUUGAGCUCUGGCCAGAGGAUCCCUCAACAGUGGUUUCCAGAAGCCGAAAAGGUUUCUCUGAAAUUCAUAUCCUGACCUCAUUCCACCUAUCAGUGGCUGCCCUGGGAAUCCCAAAGCAUAGACCUCAUGUCCCUCUGCAACUUCUAUUAUUGCAUUCUGUUGAAUUGAAACAAUAAAACAGAAUCUGUUCAGUAA